RNAcentral lists this small RNA (126 nucleotides) under Marmota monax (woodchuck). The record is from RNAcentral. Lineage: Eukaryota; Metazoa; Chordata; Mammalia; Rodentia; Sciuridae.
GCCAGGCACAGUGGCCCACGCCUGUAAUCCCAGUGGCUUAGGAGGCUGAGACAGGAGGAUCCUGAGUUCAAAGUCAGCCUCAGCAAUGGCAAGGUGCUAAAGCAACUCAGUGAGACCCUGUCUCUA